Molecule: ribosomal RNA, 572 nt
Filed under: uncultured fungus
Lineage: Eukaryota; Fungi
Description: eukaryotic LSU rRNA
Rfam family: 5.8S ribosomal RNA (bases 218-371)
Source: RNAcentral
GACAGCGCCCCGGGAGAAUCCUGGGGGCCACCCGACUUCGGUAGGGUUUAGAGUCGUCAGGCCUCUCGGAGAAGCCUGGUCCAGACCUCCACCCUUGAAUAAAUUACCUUUGUUGCUUUGGCAGGGCGCCUCGCGCCAGCGGCUUCGGCUGUUGAGUACCUGCCAGAGGACCACAACUCUUGUUUUUAGUGAUGUCUGAGUACUAUAUAAUAGUUAAAACUUUCAACAACGGAUCUCUUGGUUCUGGCAUCGAUGAAGAACGCAGCGAAAUGCGAUAAGUAAUGUGAAUUGCAGAAUUCAGUGAAUCAUCGAAUCUUUGAACGCACAUUGCGCCCUCUGGUAUUCCGGGGGGCAUGCCUGUUCGAGCGUCAUUAUAACCACUCAAGCUCUCGCUUGGUAUUGGGGUUCGCGGUUUCGCGGCCUCUAAAAUCAGUGGCGGUGCCUAUCGGCUCUACGCGUAGUAAUACUCCUCGCGUCUGGGUCCGGUAGGUCUACUUGCCAACAACCCCCAAUUUUUUACAGGUUGACCUCGGAUCAGGUAGGGAUACCCGCUGAACUUAAGCAUAUCAAUA